CUUCACCAGGUACGGAGUUUAGUUUUGUUUGUUUUUUAGCUACUUGAUGCUCUCAAUUCAAACCGAGUUAAAUGACUACAGCCUCCGGUAUGCGCACCAGAAAACCAGGGAGAAUGUGGGUGACCACCAGGGGGAGUGUGAGAGACAGAGUCAAGCUGAAUGCAGCCAGGAAGGUAACAGUGACCGACAUUUUCAGAGGCAGACCAGCCCACAUGGACCUCCAGGUGAAAAUACUGGUAUUAGGGGAAAUGCUUAAAAUUCAUGAUGUGGAAGUAUAGUACACAUGGGUCACAACUGAAUCAACAUUCUGCUCCAAUUUGAAGG
Molecule: long non-coding RNA, 324 nt
Organism: Cynoglossus semilaevis (tongue sole)
Lineage: Eukaryota; Metazoa; Chordata; Actinopteri; Pleuronectiformes; Cynoglossidae
Exons: 2
Source: RefSeq, a predicted model, not a curated record